GUGGUGGCUCAGUGGUAGAAUGCUUGCCUAGCAUGUGUGAGGCCCUGGGUUCAAUUCUCAGCACCACA
Molecule: transfer RNA, 68 nt
Filed under: Marmota monax (woodchuck)
Lineage: Eukaryota; Metazoa; Chordata; Mammalia; Rodentia; Sciuridae
Description: tRNA.Ala
Source: RNAcentral